Molecule: small RNA, 28 nt
Filed under: Bombyx mori (domestic silkworm)
Lineage: Eukaryota; Metazoa; Arthropoda; Insecta; Lepidoptera; Bombycidae
Description: ovarian small RNA-26845
Source: RNAcentral
UCCAGGUCAACUGCCGUACGCGCCCGGG